Long non-coding RNA from Sinocyclocheilus rhinocerous, 326 nucleotides. RefSeq lists it as uncharacterized. The record is from RefSeq and is a predicted model, not a curated record. NCBI's taxonomy places the organism in Eukaryota, Metazoa, Chordata, Actinopteri, Cypriniformes, Cyprinidae. The transcript has 3 exons.
CUUCCCACAAGGAUCACGGUGCCUCUAUCUGUCCUCAGCCAACCCUUGAAAAAUAAGAGUGUGGUCACUACUCCCAUACUUAAAGGGAACAUAAGCACCAAUAUCAGCAAUCUGGGGAGGAACAUUAUCCUAACUACCAUGCCGGCAGGCACCAAGUUGAUUGCUGGGAACAAGCCUGUCAGCUUUGUGACUGCUCAACAGCUGCAGCAGCUCCAGCAGCAGGGACAGGCCACACAGGUUCGAAUCCAGACGGUACCGGCUCAACAGCUACAGCGCACAGCCGCCAGCUCUCCGAAAUCCACAGUGUCGACGGUGGUGGUCUCUAC